UUAAAUUGAAGAGUUUGAUCAUGGCUCAGAUUGAACGCUGGCGGCAGGCCUAACACAUGCAAGUCGAACGGUAACAGGAAGCAGCUUGCUGCUUUGCUGACGAGUGGCGGACGGGUGAGUAAUGUCUGGGAAACUGCCUGAUGGAGGGGGAUAACUACUGGAAACGGUGGCUAAUACCGCAUAACGUCGCAAGACCAAAGAGGGGGACCUUCGGGCCUCUUGCCAUCAGAUGUGCCCAGAUGGGAUUAGCUUGUUGGUGAGGUAACGGCUCACCAAGGCGACGAUCCCUAGCUGGUCUGAGAGGAUGACCAGCCACACUGGAACUGAGACACGGUCCAGACUCCUACGGGAGGCAGCAGUGGGGAAUAUUGCACAAUGGGCGCAAGCCUGAUGCAGCCAUGCCGCGUGUAUGAAGAAGGCCUUCGGGUUGUAAAGUACUUUCAGCGGGGAGGAAGGUGUUGUGGUUAAUAACCACAGCAAUUGACGUUACCCGCAGAAGAAGCACCGGCUAACUCCGUGCCAGCAGCCGCGGUAAUACGGAGGGUGCAAGCGUUAAUCGGAAUUACUGGGCGUAAAGCGCACGCAGGCGGUCUGUCAAGUCGGAUGUGAAAUCCCCGGGCUCAACCUGGGAACUGCAUUCGAAACUGGCAGGCUUGAGUCUUGUAGAGGGGGGUAGAAUUCCAGGUGUAGCGGUGAAAUGCGUAGAGAUCUGGAGGAAUACCGGUGGCGAAGGCGGCCCCCUGGACAAAGACUGACGCUCAGGUGCGAAAGCGUGGGGAGCAAACAGGAUUAGAUACCCUGGUAGUCCACGCCGUAAACGAUGUCUACUUGGAGGUUGUGCCCUUGAGGCGUGGCUUCCGGAGCUAACGCGUUAAGUAGACCGCCUGGGGAGUACGGCCGCAAGGUUAAAACUCAAAUGAAUUGACGGGGGCCCGCACAAGCGGUGGAGCAUGUGGUUUAAUUCGAUGCAACGCGAAGAACCUUACCUGGUCUUGACAUCCACAGAACUUUCCAGAGAUGGACUGGUGCCUUCGGGAACUGUGAGACAGGUGCUGCAUGGCUGUCGUCAGCUCGUGUUGUGAAAUGUUGGGUUAAGUCCCGCAACGAGCGCAACCCUUAUCCUUUGUUGCCAGCGAUUAGGUCGGGAACUCAAAGGAGACUGCCAGUGAUAAACUGGAGGAAGGUGGGGAUGACGUCAAGUCAUCAUGGCCCUUACGACCAGGGCUACACACGUGCUACAAUGGCGCAUACAAAGAGAAGCGACCUCGCGAGAGCAAGCGGACCUCAUAAAGUGCGUCGUAGUCCGGAUUGGAGUCUGCAACUCGACUCCAUGAAGUCGGAAUCGCUAGUAAUCGUGGAUCAGAAUGCCACGGUGAAUACGUUCCCGGGCCUUGUACACACCGCCCGUCACACCAUGGGAGUGGGUUGCAAAAGAAGUAGGUAGCUUAACCUUCGGGAGGGCGCUUACCACUUUGUGAUUCAUGACUGGGGUGAAGUCGUAACAAGGUAACCGUAGGGGAACCUGCGGUUGGAUCACCUCCUUACCUUAAAGAAGC
Molecule: ribosomal RNA, 1556 nt
Filed under: Salmonella enterica
Lineage: Bacteria; Pseudomonadati; Pseudomonadota; Gammaproteobacteria; Enterobacterales; Enterobacteriaceae
Also listed under: 1 other name
Description: bacterial SSU rRNA
Rfam family: Bacterial small subunit ribosomal RNA
Source: RNAcentral